Capsicum annuum is the source of this 134-nucleotide non-coding RNA. The record is from Rfam. NCBI's taxonomy places the organism in Eukaryota, Viridiplantae, Streptophyta, Magnoliopsida, Solanales, Solanaceae.
GUGUUAAUAGAAAGGAUAGACGGUUGGCAUAUUCCCCGACAAGAAUUGGAACACCUUUCGGGCUUUACUUGUGUCUAUAUUUAGACGCAUUCUAUUAAGGAUAACCACCUGGGUGGAUCUAACCGAAUUUUCUU